GGUUAAUGCAGCAGCUCAGACUCAACUCUCCGUACAGGGUGAGCACACCGGGGCAGGAACAUUGUCGAUCACCCGGGAAGUCGGACUGUGAUAUCCCGGGACCACACUGAACGCCGUCCGGUUACAACAUCAGAGAGCCAGAGUUUACAAUCUCCGACCUCCUGGCACAGGGGGAUGAAGAUCGACUGUAUCAACUAACAAAGUUCUACAGAGACAGACUCAAACAAGCAAUUGAAGAAAAGGUUGAGAGACUCGGGUUGAUGUUGACAGAGGAGGGACAUUUCAGUAGAGAAGAAAAUGAGAAAGUCACUGAGCUGACAGAGAAGGGAAACCGGGCAGAGAGUUCCAGACUCUUCCUCAGUUUGGUGAUGGGCAAAGGCUCCCGGGCCCAGAGGGCGAUGUGGGAAUCCUUUGUGAUGUGGAGGACUGAGUUACCGAAGUUGGAGAGAAUACUGAGGGAAAUACUGGAA
This is a long non-coding RNA of Hypanus sabinus (Atlantic stingray), 470 nucleotides long. RefSeq lists it as uncharacterized. The record is from RefSeq and is a predicted model, not a curated record. NCBI's taxonomy places the organism in Eukaryota, Metazoa, Chordata, Chondrichthyes, Myliobatiformes, Dasyatidae. The transcript is spliced from 3 exons.